Molecule: long non-coding RNA, 931 nt
Organism: Alexandromys fortis (reed vole)
Lineage: Eukaryota; Metazoa; Chordata; Mammalia; Rodentia; Cricetidae
Exons: 4
Source: RefSeq, a predicted model, not a curated record
UGUUGAAGAAAGAGAGCACAAGCUUUUAUUUCUCCUUUAUAGCUUUGAGAGGGCCUGGCUCCUAGGGAAAUUCCAGAAGAAUUCAAAACAUCAACAGUGACUUCCAAGUCAGCAGAAGCAUGUGGGGAGUGGUGGGGGGGUGGCUAAUGACAUCUUACAGCCUGUUUGUGAGCUGUCUAUAACAUGGGGACAUAGGUACAGACCCCAGACAAGGAGCAAGCAGCUGCAAGGACCAUGGCCGGUCUUUCCUCCUUGACCCUCCCCACUGCCUGGCUUCCUCCCACUUCACCCAUUGCUGCUUAGUAGCCCUCUCCAUCUAAGACCUCAUGCUGCUGAGUCCCCAUUCCCAGACCAGACUUUGCAGCUAAUGAUGUGGGAGUGGUUUCUUAUUAAUAAAGAAACUGCCUUGGCCCAUUUUAUUGGAUAGAAAAUUAGGUAGGCAGAGUAUACAGAAGAGAAUUCUGGGAGAAAGAAGGUUAGUAAAGGAGUCACCAUGAUUCUCCUGCUCCAGACAGACGCAGGUUAAGAUCCUCCCUGGUCCAGCUUGUGACGAAGCUGAAUGGCUUCCUGAAGGUCUGACUAGUUGCCAUCUCUUGGGUGAAUGGACAAGAAGUCUAAACUGGUCUGAACUAAACCACACUAAGACGUUCAUGGCUGACAACCAAGCAACAUCUAUAGCUUGGAUAAAUGUCCUCCGAAGGCUAGUGAAUUAGAGGCUUGAACUUCCGCUAAUGGUGUUCCUGGGGAGUCGUGAAACCUUUAUAAAAGGUCCUGGACCCUGGGCCUUUUUGUCUGCCUCCAGCUGCUGUGAGGCUAUCUCCAAAGGCUUUUAAGGAACCACACAGUGGGAACGACAAGAUGGCUUAGCAGGGAAAGAUGCUUACCACCAAGCCUGAUGAGCUGAGUUACAUCCCUGGAACCCACAUCCAAG